GACGAACGCUGGCGGCGUGCUUAACACAUGCAAGUCGAACGGAAAGGCCCUGCUUUUGUGGGGUGCUCGAGUGGCGAACGGGUGAGUAACACGUGAGUAACCUGCCCUUGACUUUGGGAUAACUUCAGGAAACUGGGGCUAAUACCGGAUAGGAGCUCCUGCUGCAUGGUGGGGGUUGGAAAGUUUCGGCGGUUGGGGAUGGACUCGCGGCUUAUCAGCUUGUUGGUGGGGUAGUGGCUUACCAAGGCUUUGACGGGUAGCCGGCCUGAGAGGGUGACCGGCCACAUUGGGACUGAGAUACGGCCCAGACUCCUACGGGAGGCAGCAGUGGGGAAUAUUGCACAAUGGGCGGACGCCUGAUGCAGCAACUCCGCGUGCGGGAUGACGGCCUUCGGGUUGUAAACCGCUUUCGCCUGUGACGAAGCGUGAGUGACGGUAAUGGGUAAAGAAGCACCGGCUAACUACGUG
Molecule: ribosomal RNA, 468 nt
Filed under: uncultured bacterium
Lineage: Bacteria
Description: partial 16S ribosomal RNA
Rfam family: Bacterial small subunit ribosomal RNA
Source: RNAcentral